CACGUAGGCGGAUUUGUAAGUCAGGGGUGAAAUCCCGGGGCUCAACCUCGGAACUGCCUUUGAUACUGCAAAUCUCGAGUCCGGAAGAGGUAAGUGGAAUUCCUAGUGUAGAGGUGAAAUUCGUAGAUAUUAGGAAGAACACCAGUGGCGAAGGCGGCUCACUGGUCCGGUACUGACGCUGAGGUGCGAAAGCGUGGGGAGGCAAAACA
This 209-nucleotide ribosomal RNA is filed under the name uncultured bacterium. RNAcentral's name for it is "partial 16S ribosomal RNA". It matches the Rfam family "Bacterial small subunit ribosomal RNA", at positions 568 to 776 of the family's 1533-position model. The record is from RNAcentral.